AAAUGCGGUAAGUAAUGUGAAUUGCAGAAUUCAGUGAAUCAUCGAAUCUUUGAACGCACCUUGCGCUCCUUGGUAUUCCUUGGAGCAUGCCUGUUUGAGUAUCAUGAAAUCUUCAAAGUAAAUCUUUUGUUAACUCAAUUGGUUUCUACUUUGGUAUUGGAGGUCUUUGCAGCUUCACACCUGCUCCUCUUUGUUCAUUAGCUGGAUCUCAGUGUUAUGCUUGGUUCCACUCGGCGUGAUAAGUUAUCUAUCGCUGAGGACACUGUAAAAGGUGGCCAAGGUAAAUGCAGAUGAACCGCUUCUAAUAGUCCAUUGACUUGGACAAUACUUUUAUGAUCUGAUCUCAAAUCAGGUAGGACUACCCGCUGAACUUAAGC
RNAcentral lists this unclassified non-coding RNA (377 nucleotides) under plant metagenome. RNAcentral describes it as "partial contains 5.8S ribosomal RNA, internal transcribed spacer 2, and large subunit ribosomal RNA". The stretch from base 1 to 104 matches the Rfam family "5.8S ribosomal RNA", at positions 51 to 154 of the family's 154-position model. The record is from RNAcentral.